Molecule: ribosomal RNA, 274 nt
Filed under: uncultured bacterium
Lineage: Bacteria
Description: partial 16S ribosomal RNA
Rfam family: Bacterial small subunit ribosomal RNA
Source: RNAcentral
AUACGGAGGGACCAAGCGUUGUUCGGAAUCAUUGGGCGUAAAGCGCGUGUAGGCGGCUUGGUAAGUCGGGUGUGAAAGCCCGGGGCUCAACCCCGGAAUUGCAUUCGAAACUGCCCGGCUAGAGUCCCGGAGAGGAGGGCGGAAUUCCCGGUGUAGAGGUGAAAUUCGUAGAUAUCGGGAGGAACACCAGUGGCGAAGGCGGCCCUCUGGACGGUGACUGACGCUGAGAUGCGAAAGCGUGGGGAGCAAACAGGAUUAGAUACCCCUGUAGUCC